GAGAAUUUGUCGACGGGGAGGAGUAUCCUCGUGUACCUAUCAAAAGAGAGCCGGGUUAGGUGAAAGCCGGUAUAGGGAUACGAGGGGAACAUGGCCCCUGAGAACCCUCUUUGAAUACUGUGAUUCUGGUGGUAAGAGAGGGCGUGUCCCGACGUUAAUGGGCAGUGAGUUCACUGGUUAAGGCCGCUUACCGUGAGGAAGCGGCGAACUUGGGUGGUACCGCGAAGCAGCCUUCGCCCCAUGA
This 244-nucleotide non-coding RNA is filed under the name Marininema halotolerans. RNAcentral describes it as "T-box sequence". It matches the Rfam family "T-box leader". Rfam says of the family: Uncharged tRNA acts as the effector for transcription antitermination of genes in the T-box leader family. T-boxes are found upstream of many aminoacyl-tRNA synthetase genes and some amino acid biosynthetic genes usually in Gram-positive bacteria. Lineage: Bacteria; Bacillati; Bacillota; Bacilli; Caryophanales; Thermoactinomycetaceae. The record is from RNAcentral.